RNAcentral lists this ribosomal RNA (366 nucleotides) under uncultured bacterium. Its description in RNAcentral is "bacterial SSU rRNA". It matches the Rfam family "Bacterial small subunit ribosomal RNA", at positions 441 to 793 of the family's 1533-position model. The record is from RNAcentral.
AGUGAGGAAGGCGGGUACGUUAAUAGCGUGCUCGUUUGACGUUAGCUGCAGAAGAAGCACCGGCUAACUCCGUGCCAGCAGCCGCGGUAAUACGGGAGGGGUGCGAGCGUUAAUCGGAAUUACUAGGGCGUAAAGCGCAUGCAGGUGGUUUUGUUAAGUCAGAUGUGAAAGCCCCGGGGCUCAACCUCGGAAUUGCAUUUGAAACUGGCAGACUAGAGUACUGUAGAGGGGGUAGAAUUUCAGGUGUAGCGGUGAAAAUGCGUAGAGAUCUGAAGGAAUACCGGUGGCGAAGGCGGCCCCCUGGACAGAUACUGACACUCAGAUGCGAAAGCGUGGGGAGCAAACAGGAUUAGAUACCCCUGGUAG